RNAcentral lists this ribosomal RNA (1334 nucleotides) under Bacillus sp. SC24(2010). Its description in RNAcentral is "bacterial SSU rRNA". It matches the Rfam family "Bacterial small subunit ribosomal RNA", at positions 31 to 1355 of the family's 1533-position model. The record is from RNAcentral. Lineage: Bacteria; Bacillati; Bacillota; Bacilli; Caryophanales; Bacillaceae.
GAACAUGAACGUCGUAUACAUGCAGUCGAGCGGACAGAAGGGAGCUUGCUCCCGGAUGUUAGCGGCGGACGGGUGAGUAACACGUGGGUAACCUGCCUGUAAGACUGGGAUAACUCCGGGAAACCGGAGCUAAUACCGGAUAGUUCCUUGAACCGCAUGGUUCAAGGAUGAAAGACGGUUUCGGCUGUCACUUACAGAUGGACCCGCGGCGCAUUAGCUAGUUGGUGAGGUAACGGCUCACCAAGGCGACGAUGCGUAGCCGACCUGAGAGGGUGAUCGGCCACACUGGGACUGAGACACGGCCCAGACUCCUACGGGAGGCAGCAGUAGGGAAUCUUCCGCAAUGGACGAAAGUCUGACGGAGCAACGCCGCGUGAGUGAUGAAGGUUUUCGGAUCGUAAAGCUCUGUUGUUAGGGAAGAACAAGUGCAAGAGUAACUGCUUGCACCUUGACGGUACCUAACCAGAAAGCCACGGCUAACUACGUGCCAGCAGCCGCGGUAAUACGUAGGUGGCAAGCGUUGUCCGGAAUUAUUGGGCGUAAAGGGCUCGCAGGCGGUUUCUUAAGUCUGAUGUGAAAGCCCCCGGCUCAACCGGGGAGGGUCAUUGGAAACUGGGAAACUUGAGUGCAGAAGAGGAGAGUGGAAUUCCACGUGUAGCGGUGAAAUGCGUAGAGAUGUGGAGGAACACCAGUGGCGAAGGCGACUCUCUGGUCUGUAACUGACGCUGAGGAGCGAAAGCGUGGGGAGCGAACAGGAUUAGAUACCCUGGUAGUCCACGCCGUAAACGAUGAGUGCUAAGUGUUAGGGGGUUUCCGCCCCUUAGUGCUGCAGCUAACGCAUUAAGCACUCCGCCUGGGGAGUACGGUCGCAAGACUGAAACUCAAAGGAAUUGACGGGGGCCCGCACAAGCGGUGGAGCAUGUGGUUUAAUUCGAAGCAACGCGAAGAACCUUACCAGGUCUUGACAUCCUCUGACAACCCUAGAGAUAGGGCUUUCCCUUCGGGGACAGAGUGACAGGUGGUGCAUGGUUGUCGUCAGCUCGUGUCGUGAGAUGUUGGGUUAAGUCCCGCAACGAGCGCAACCCUUGAUCUUAGUUGCCAGCAUUCAGUUGGGCACUCUAAGGUGACUGCCGGUGACAAACCGGAGGAAGGUGGGGAUGACGUCAAAUCAUCAUGCCCCUUAUGACCUGGGCUACACACGUGCUACAAUGGACAGAACAAAGGGCUGCGAGACCGCAAGGUUUAGCCAAUCCCACAAAUCUGUUCUCAGUUCGGAUCGCAGUCUGCAACUCGACUGCGUGAAGCUGGAAUCGCUAGUAAUCGCGGAUCAGCAU